UCUAAAAAUUGUAAUGCCUUUCAAUAAUAAUAAUAAUAAUAAUAAUAAUAAUAAUAAUAAUAAUAAUAAUAAUAAUAAGAAUAAUUCAAUUUUAUUUAACAUGCCUAGGAACAACCCUAAGGUCUGAGUGCAGGCACACAGUAAAAAAAAAUGCAACUACAAAUGCAGAAAAAAAAGCCCAAUAUAAAGAACGACAAUUAUGAAAAGGAACAGCUUGUAAUCAGCAAAAGCCACGGUGAAUUCACAAAAGAAAGACGGAGAAAUACACGAACACGUGAGAGUCAAUAAAGAUAAGCUAAUCAAUCCAGCCUUUAGAGGACGUGUCCAGAAAAAGGGAAACCAUAGGUUUGAAUAUUGGCGCACAGGUAAUCUAACAAAAAUUUAAUGUGCAGCCUUAAAAGAAAUGCACAGGCAAAAUGAAGCGAUACAUGCAUAGAAAAUACAUUUGGGCAUAAUACUGGCGCACAACAAAGAACAUGGAAAGCUGCUAAAGCAAAAUCUUGUCUAUGGACAAAGGUAAAGUAAAUGGUCAAGAACAGAUGAUUAGUGAGAAAGCGCAAUGAAAAAAUAAAACUGUACAGCUAAAAGUACAAACGUAAGGGAAAGUGAAUAAAAAAAAGGGGAAACGAUUCAUGUAAAAUACAUGUAAAUGUAAUGUACCAAGAACAUUGAAUGUACCAGGAAACAAAAACAAAUGAAGCACCUGUAACAUUGCGCAUAUCGUCUGGCCAGCUGAAGAUGUACCAAAGCACACGGCGAAAGAGAGCGCUUUGCAGACAAACACAAGCACAUGCCAACAUAAACCUGUGAACAGAACGACGAAAGCGAGUGAUAAAAAAUAUAACGAGCAGCGAAAUAGGUAUUAUGCAGAUUCUGAAUUUUACUGCACAGCAGAAUGUUUACUGUGACAAGCAGGAACGAAAAAAAAAAUGGCCUGUGUCCCCUUGUCGCCUUCUGUACAAUCUGAAGUGCGACAUAAUUAAGUAGCUCAGCGCAGUUGUUUCUGUUAAUGAGCAUAUGCACAAACAAUAAUACGAAUAAGAAAUAAGAAUUAGAAGCGUAUUUGGUUUAUCGCUGUCCGCGAGAUCAGUGCUCGUGCUUGGCCGGUACCACCUGGAUUAUCGUUGUUGCUCUGUUGCAUAAAUAACUCGUCCCACGACAUUUGGUGGAGGUGUGGCAGAACUCGCCAGAACCUCAACAACAUCAACAGAGCUACUGUGGCUGAGGACCGCUUGCUCGUCAAGAGGACCGGAAAAAAAGGCGCUCUUUAACCGUAUGAAUUUUAACAAGGCAAGGUCAAGGUUUCCUGCGGCAAUGUUCAUCAGAGAGGUAAUGACUGCGUUGAUGAUAAUCACGGCUCACAAAAAGCGCAUAAACGGGGCGAGUCAGAAUCCAUUUUCUGUGGAAUGCAACAUGAGGUUGACGAUGAAAGAUAGCAGGCAGACGCGAAGAAUAAGCUGCAAAUUGUUCACUGGAUUAACUUGCGCCCUGUCAACCAAGAUACGCUCUGUCGGCGGCGAUGGACGACAUUCUCUGUCGGCUGCCGUUGAAUCUAAUUACGGCGUUCGCGUUCGACCGCAUUUACUGAGAAGAGCAGUUAUGUUAUGAGCUAGGAAAUGGGUUGAGUGUUUCCCUCCGUCAGUCCGUCCUUCCGCCCGCUUGUUCUAAAGAAAUGUCGACCGAUUCUCAUUAAAUUUUGCACUCAGGUGCGGAAAAAUUAACUAGCGUAUAUAAAGCUGCAUGUCAAGCUUUCUAACCCCUGCAUCACUUCUGCCACCUACUGCAAUUAAGUCAUUUAAACUAGAAAAUGGGCUGAGAGUGACUGUCUCCGGCUGAGCAGAAUUAAUUUUUACGUUGCACCGACUCAUGCGCAGUUGGAAGGAAAGAGGUUGGGCACGGCGAGAGUGAUGCUGCAGAUAAGCACAAAGCUUCGCGUCACAGCUCGUUAUCAGUGAAAUCUGCUGGCACGGGAAAAAUAAAGACGCCUGCAUCUUAACGCAGGACAGAUAGCCUCAGGCGGUCUUUGGCAUCGACUGAAGGAGGCCGGAAAGGUGUUGAAGCCGAAAAUAAAUUGCCCUGGAGCGGGUGCGCACUCUUCGAAAACGCCAGGCGGUAUAAAAGCUCGAAAGGAAUUGGCCCAAUAAAUGAAAAACAGCCCCGAGCAAACAACGUGCAGAACAAGGCAUCGCUGGCAGCAGCACAGAUCCAAGGUUGACCUCAUUGGACGCUUACUUCAAGCGGGUGUUCCACAAACAACUUUGGAACCACCUGCCAUGUGUGCCGUGGUGCUUGUUGUUUCAAAACAGUGUCUGGGGUCAUCGCCUGCAGCAAGUGUGAAAAGUUACUCGUGCAACUGUUUCACAAUGAGGGCUUAAGCGCUUUCCGUGUGUGUGCCUAAUAACGGACGCCAUUGCGGAGAACGAGACUCCCCAGUUAUACCGGACCUUUUACGUGUGCUCUCCAAGGCAAGAGCAGCUGCUGCAAGGCAAUGUGGUAAGUCAAAGGUCUAUUGCCCCUCGAGUGUCCCCGCCCCUUGUGUAUCCCCCAUGCCAUUGCGGAAGCUAAUGGACAGUAGCGUUGGUUAGUGCGUGAGUGUAUACUCCGACAACGCUAUAGACGAUGAUGUGAGCCCUCCUGUGCAGCUCAAGAGAAGGGGGCGCAAAGUCUAGUUAACGGAAGGACGCGGUGUAAGAGUGAGCCGUCUAAGCGUUUCUGAACAAAUCUACGCUAUAUGGCUUGUACCAUAUCAAGGUGACCAGAAUCUGAGGUGAGCAACGUCGGGCACGUACUUCGGAAAUUGUUUUCGCCAAUAAAAAGCCUGAGGCCGUGUGUGGUCUUUGUGAUGGCAGGUAGCUACGGAACCGCGGGAGACUGGCUCCGGCACCGUGCUCUCAAAGUUAUGUAGGAUGCUCUAAGCUUAUUAAGGAGCUAGAGGUCAUGACUGCUCCCCGCAGUUAAGGAAAUUAGAGUCACUGUAGUCUGCCAGUUGUUUUCUUUUUUUUCUUUGCACGCGUCAUCCAAUCUCCCAGACACAUUUGCCGGGACGACGUGAAUUCCAGAACAUGCCAUAAAUAUCAGUGUGCGCGUCAACAGUCAGAUAUGAAGCUGCGAAUUACAGCGCACGCGACAAGAACCGGAAACGACGAUGUCUAUGUCGUUUCCUUUCCUUGUGUCGGUGUGCGCUGUAAUUCACAGUAACACGGAACGCCAACAAGCCCGGUCUGUUGCAAAUAUGUGAAGAGCCGGCGUUUAAGAAAAGGCUGGGGUGUUCGAACUGCCCAAGUCACAUAGUAUUGGGAGAUCAGCUUCAGCGUCAGCAGAAGUGAAAUCGGGGUCAGCAGAAGCGACAGUAGAAAUGAUAGAUCAAAUGAAAGGCGCGUGGGCGUAUUCAUUACGUGACAUAAUACGGGCGUGUUCUCGAAACGUUGCGGAAAAUUUCAGCCAUACAAGUUGCUGGUGGCACCUGCCGCCUUUUAAAUGCAAUUAAAGAAACGACAGAAUGAUACGGAGACGAACGUAUGUACCAAAAUACAUUUAUUCGGAAACCGCGUUGAGUUCAGUGGGUGUGGCGUUUGCGGUGGGGAUGUGCUUGGAUGAUUUGGUUUCCCAGCUCAACAUUUCUGUUUCAGAGAUGAGGGUGAAGUACACAGUGAACACUAACUUGCCACACCAGUAAAACUGUUUUCAGCUGCUGUCACUGUUCUUUAGAGAAGGGACUAAGAACGCCAUAUGUGAAGCGAGGUGUUGUUUCUUGCAUUAAUAUAGGGGAUGGGGUGGUGGGGUGAUAAAACCCUACACUUGCAAUGUUCGUGCGAAAGUCAUUGCCACGUAACUUCCACAGAGUGGCUAGAAAAUACAGAGAACGUGUCUCACUUCAUGUGGAACAGAAUUUCAACUACAUGCACUCAGUCGAACAGAUAAAAGACAAAUCAAACAAGAACCACACUGUGUGCCGCUUAUAUGUACUCCUCCUGUGCGAUGGUUGGCACAAUUUACGAAAUCGCGAAUUAUUUAGGAAAAUAUAAAACGCCGCAAAGUACAGGUGCGUUAAUAAGAAACGCGAACUCCAGACAAUGCUGUCUGAGAGAAGUGCUGCUCUUUCUAACUGACGAUUCUGAAAGGUUAGGCUCUAGUGUGACUAGGCCGUUGGGUUAGAUACUGUUCACGCGCGCAGAUUUCGAAACUUGCUCGUAGAGGGCGUGGCAAUACUCUCGGACCGCACGCCCAAGUGUUCGCAUUUCUUUUCCCCCAAUAGAGUUGAGUAUUCAAAACAUGAAUAAACAUCUAUAAUGUCACUAAUUUCAGUCAACAAUUGAAUAGUAAACUUCUUCGGUGUACACUUGUCCAGUUAUUUAGUCACUGAAAAGUGCUAUGAAAAGUUUCAGUGAAGUUGUUACUUUUCCAAUCGAUAACACAUACAGAACCGCCUUUCUCAGAAGAACACUUUCGGUGAGUUGCUCGAGCACAAACGAGAGAGAGAGAAAAAAAAUACUGAUAUAGUACACACCGACGAAACAGCGAUGUACAACAUGUGCUUCUUGGACAGUGUCACGUACUUUUCAUUUGCUUCGAACACAUAGGGGCACAAUGAAAGCAGUUGUCGAGCUCUUGCCAGGAGGAGAAAAACGGCGGCCUUUCCCUGGGCAGAAAAUGAUUCAGCCUCAGUACUAAAGGGCCGAUGAUCCCGUGCAGAGAAAAGGAAUUUGUUCAGGUAACUCACUCAGUGACCUUUUUUUUUUUGCCAUCAACAACUCCUAAAACAUCUAUGACCAACGACAGACCUUCUAGGGCCGAUGAAUUUAUCUACACUGCGCUAUUUAUAAAACAGUCUUCUAUAUAAAAUCUCUGCCUCUCCAAGACGUCUGCUCCAGUAAGUAGUUUUUUUUUCUCCUUCUGCAACUACAACAGCUGGCAACGACAACAGCUCCACAGAAAAAUACUCUGACAUAUAGCGCUACAUACAACAUAUGCAUAUACAACUUUCUGCAUAUAAUUUACACAAGUCUCUCAAACAAGUUUUUUUUUUUGUUGCUUUCACAUUUUGCUGGCUACCGGUGCUCGCAGCGCAGAACACCGAGAACACUAGCGAAAAAGAAAAGUUCGGUAGCUUGACGUUUUUCUUUUCGCAGCUGUAGCCGCCGAACUUCUGUGGCUGACAGGUCCUUUCACGUAUGCCAGGGCUGCUGCUGAUCCUCGUCAGGCAGGCGCGGUGCGCUAUUGCUGAAAAUUUGAUGUGUUACUUUGCGUAGGUCUGUUUGUUUGGUGCUCGUAACAUCGCUCAAAGAAAGCAAGGUGGAAGAUGUAACCUUACGUAGCACUUUAGACAUCUAAAAAUAAAGCUGUUUUUCACUAAGUAUGCCACUUUCGUGAUUUUCGUGCCACAUAGCCGCAGGAACAUGAAUGCGCGCAGUAAAAACCCAAGGUUUGCCACGAAAAUUCGGAGGAACUUUGCUAUUCUUGUCUGAGUAAUUUAUGAUAUUCUAAGUGGUAGCGACUACUCACUAACACAAAGCACCUUUACGCUAGCGUGUAUAACAAGUGUAUUGAAUCAAUCUUCUAAUGCUUAUGUCUGCACCAGUUUGAAUGUUAGCAGGCGGCUUUCACUCUGAUAAAAAAUAUCUGUACGGUUUUAUUCUACUACAGCUGAUACUGAACUGUAUUAGCUGAUGCUUGUGUUUCGAAAGUUCUAACCUGACGUGCUCCCACCACAGCUGCCGUAUUGGCGAGAUGAAGACGAUAGCGAUAGCAUCAUUGGCGACGCUUAGAAAUACUGUUUCUUUAGGCAUUGUGUGCAGUAACCUUACUAAAGUUCGUGCCUUUAUUUUUCAUUUAUUAGCCAACUAAAAUGCUUUCAUGGGAAUCUGUGCUAGAACAAAUCACUGCGCUUCCUUGAAUCACUACUAUUGUUAAGAAAUAUUUUCUGUCCUUUUCUGUUCAUUUUCUAGGCAUGUUUUUCCACACCUGGGCAAAACAAUUCAGAAAAACAUAGUCACGCUAAAGUUCCUAUGGAGGUUGCAAUUUGUCUGAUCUUAACAUCGAGAAAUCUGAAUGCCAAAAAUUGCCUGCUUCUGUCGCACCAAGCUAAAGAGGACAGUUCUGAGUGCUGUCGGCAAUGGUCAGGCGUGGUGGCCAAGCACUGCUAUAAAAGCACUUGAACUAUGCGGAUAGACGUAGCAGGCACAAGAAAAAUACGCAGUGUGUUUGUUUUGCGUUCAUGUUCUACGGCUACAUCAUUCAUUGCGCAGGCUGUUUUCUUAUACCUUGUGUUACAUUUGAGACUGAAAUACGUGCGUAAUAUUUAAAGAUAAAAAUAUUAAGUAGGCGGUGACUUUUCGCACACUCUGUACACAUAGGCCUGCUUCCACUGUUUCUUGAUUUCUCAAUGUCUCAUUUUGUGCGCCAUACUGUGAAAACGAGCACGAAUUAUUGCAUAUGCGAGACUUACAGACCCACGUUCGUUUACAAUCGGUUCACGUAGAUCUAAGCAUCGUGUAUCACUGCACCGCGCCUGUAUUUGGCGUUAGUUGAAGUCUAACCGUUCGCCGAUGGCGUCGUUUAAAAAAAAUAUCAGUUUACGUCAACAUCACAUUUCUGUUACGUUCAGUGUUCCGCGCUGCGGCACUUAUUUGCGGGAGGGAAAUGUACGGUUGCGUGCAUCAUAACAUGUGUAUAUUUCUUUUUUUUUUCUCUUGAGCUUGUGGCAGUAGUGUAGAAAAAAGAAACCAAAACCACACAUUUGCUCUGUUUCUCCGACCUUGAUAGGCACGUGUAACAUACGACAUGAAAUUGCAGUGCUCGGUGGACGUCAACACAUCAGCCUUGGUAAAGUCUGUUCAAGAUUUUUGGUUAUCUCAAGGACAUCGCAAUCAUUUAUGCAGCACUGGUAAGCAUCACGACAGGCUGCUGCAGUAUCGUCUCUUGCUCCAGAUUAUGCGGUCUAUCGGAGGAGGAUACCUAUGGCAACCGUGUAUCACUUCUUGUUUACUACACAAUGCUUCAGUGAAAGAAGAAUUUGCAUCAGUGCGUUCGAGCCCCACAACGUGUGCUUCAAAUGGUGCCAGCAGAAAGUUUCCCAAUUCACUGCAGCGCAUGUAAACCUAAGAUAGCAGCCAAAAAUAUGAUACGAGUUCUCUAUAGGAGAAGUACUUUUAAGGCAAGAUGGGAUUUUUCACUGAUUUUCUACGAUAAGCGCCUCCUGAAUUUAAGCGUGAUGCAUACUCAGCUUACGCAGAUCCAGUGGGCGCGUAAGAAUGAGAAUGGAACAGAGGGCCUAGAAUUUUCUUAGCUACAGCGAUGUGAAGCCAAAUGGACGGUGAAUUAAGGGUACGCAUAGAGGAACUGAAUUCUUGUCCUUUUUUUAAAACGAAAUGCAGAAAUAACAAGGCAAACAAAUGUGGGCGACAAGACAACUUCUAGCCGGUGGAAGCCUAACACACGCCUUUCGGAUUACGCGCGCGAUGCGUUACCAUCGAACCACCGCGUCGGGCUUGCUCCCGUCCAUGUUAUAAGGUAUUAGUGCAUGCGUACUAGAUCUAGCUUUGGGAGUGUUAGCCUGCACCACUCAUGGCCACAUGCUUCAAACAUUAGUGUUUGAAAACCGCGCUGUCGGACCCGCGACACGAGGGCGCAGGUUCAAUCCGACGGGCACGGAGCGCAAGAACACUCAAGCGCCAUGAUUUUUGGGGUGCCAUUAAGAGGAAGCUUUAGCUCGGGUGCUCCUAUCUAAAUACAUGUAAACGGAGAAUUCGUUUUUCUUGGCAACUACUACACCAAAUUUGACGAGGUUUGUUGUAUUUAAAAGAAAAACUUAAACUCUAGUGACUGUUGCUUUCGAAUUUUCGAGUUAGGUUGUCAAUUUUUUAUUAAAAAUUGGCAAAAAUCGAAAAUUUUCAAAAAACAAACCUAUCAAGUUUACAACUCUGUAACUCAACAACGAAAAAUGAUAAUACAAUUCUGUGAAUUGUAUCUAAUAGUACAUCUAAAGCGGACCAAAUAUGUUACACAUGAAUAUAAAAAAAAAUUGGUAAUAUGGAAAUACAGAUUUUGCAGAACCCUUGUAACCAACGUAACAAAUUCACGUAAGAUGUGAAAUGACAUAUCAAAUUUGUCCGCUUUGAAUGAUCUAAUGGAUGCCGUUUACAGAACCGCGAUAUCAGUUCUUUAUGCAGAGCUACAAAUUUGUAAACUUCGUGCUUCUAUAUUUCUCAAACGGUCAAAUAUUUGAAAAUCGUUUUAAGAAAAUUCAAGCCCUAAAUCGAAAUUUCGCUUCCAACAGUCACUAGAAUAUAACUUUCUCUUUCAAAUGCAACAUAUGUUAUUAAAAUCGGUCCAGGGGUUAUCUCAUAAAAAGGUUUUUGUGUUUUACAUGCAUUUUAAUAGGCCGCGUCGGAGUUGGGCCCGAGCUAAAGCUUCCUCUUAAAAAAAAACCGGGCGGUAGAGGUUUAUCCGGAACCCUACGCUACGGAUUUGCUCAAAGCACAGUUGCAGGUUAGGAAACCCAAGAACUUAAUUCAAUGUUAGUGCUUGCCAACGCUGCUAGUGAAGUUAAGUGCCAAGCUUUCGCGUUCAGCUGGAAAAGAGGUAUCGGGAACAGAAAUACGCCAUCAUGUAAUGCCGCUGAGCCUCGGAACCUGUGUCUUGCCUGCGCCAUAUGGUGGUUGAAAAAUGCACAACUCGAUAGUACGCUGCAUGCUUGUUUUCUGCGGCACAAAACGUCAACCAUGGUUGCUUCCGCAAGCCCUUUCCAUGCUUUUCUUCGUGCAAGUGCACCGAUUUCUCUAUGCGUGAUUUAUGAAUUGAGCCUGUUGUCCUUUCUGUGAAAAAAAAAACUUUCAGCUAAUCAAUAGUUUUGAUCGGUGGUCUGCAAUUAUACCACCUGUUUGCUAGUAAAUCUCGCUGGCCACGUGAAUUGCUGCCAUUGAUUCGGUCUUAUACCCCUCAAGCAUGACAGCUAUUUAAAGUGAGACACCUAAUGCCUGAACCUGCGGCCACUGUCCGUCCUCGACCAUUCUUGAUACUUUUGGAGACAAGAGGUAAAGCGCGAUGAAUUUUCUCAAAGGUUGCAACAAGCUCUAAGGCGGAGCACCAGACCUUCAUCAGUGAGAUGCGGCGGUAACGCGGUGAUAAAAGACGUCACGUACCUCUACAAAAUAAUUUCCAAAGUCAUGUCUCGUCCCUAUAUUAGAUAGUGCUUCGGUUCGUACUAAGAAAAUGGCGUGCAGCUUCAGGCCUUUCUGCAGUAGAAAAUGCUUUGUUCAGUGCAAGCAAAUGACGCUUAUGUUACUUAAUCACUGCUCUGAUUAUGUUCAGGGCCUUGUCACCACCAAACGAUGCUGGAGAUCCUUACCGUUAAGUUGCACACGGUUGCCUUGAGUGUGAUCCUCCGAAUUCUAUGUUUACUUACUAAGUGAAUUUUCGCCAGCUAUCGCUACAGAACUACCCGUUCAACUUUUCGUUUCACCUCUAAAAAGCAACAGCGAGUUUUAUACUAGUAGGAGAGCUCUUUUGUUCAGAUUAGGGGCGUAAACCCAUUUGCCGCAUUUUAGAAGUCAACAAACUGGCGUCAAAGGCAUCUUAAUAAGAUACCCAAUUAUGGAAUGCAGCGGAGCAAAAGGCGAUGAAGUCGCUUGAACGCCGAAUACGAUAUGCUACGGCUCAUGCGCUUAUUUUUGUGAGCAAGCGAGUAACAAGCUGACGUUGUAUGACUUGCCCGGAUACAGUGUUGACUCGGCGUGUGUGUGUACAUCCACCAAGGCACGAAUGAUCCGUGUGAGGCACGUUCGGUGGAGCAAACAACACUAACGAUUCCGCUUCUUCACUAUUCCCAUUCUUUCCGCUAAGACAACUUUUGUUCGUUCUUUCUUUUCCUCUCUUUUUAUCGAACCGGCAUGCAGGAACGAACAGUUAUACAAUGAAUAGGGUAACAUUCAGUGCCUAGAAACAUGUGCACGAAACACAGCAGCCCUGAGGCGUUCACUAGUUUGACACAGUGUCUACAAGUGUGUGCGGAAGAACUUGCAUACGACACAACACUGCAAUUAUCGUAUGAGGCCACACUUGUGCUUAUGUUUACGGGUACUCUUUCCCAUUUCGCUUUGGCGCCGGUGUAAGUGAAUGCCAUUGACGAAACAUGCGCGGUCGUCGUCGCCAGAUACAAAAUACGUGGCCCUGUGCUCUAGAAGUAUAAAUCUCGUAAUACCUUAACAUUUUCUUAGGGGCAAGUAACCGACUAAAGGAGCUUCCCUGAAGCUUCGCGCGUCCUGUAUUAUAUAAGCAAGGAGAAUGACAACAGACUAGUCCCUAAGUAAAACAAGGACUACGCUUUGCUUCUGUUCAGUCUUCAGGAAAACGACAGAUAGGCCCUUUUCCAUGGUCAUCAGGGUGACUGAGACGACCUUAUAAUUUUUAAUGAAGGGUGAUAUAUACAAGUAGCACAAAUUUCUUAUUCUGUUCAACAGUACAAAAAUGCCUUUACUGCGUUUAAUUCUCAGUAUUCUACGCCAGUAACCAACGGGUCUCACAUCUUCAAAAAAUAUUCUUCUGCAAUAUUACAUCAGCUUUAACGUAGCCAGUGGUCUCGGCUCACUAGUGGACGCACCAUUUGAUCUCACUGACGCGUUCUGGCCUUGACUAAGUUGAAAGCGGUCAAAAUAAGUGGUGUAAUAUAAUAUGAAUCUUUUUUUUUUGUUUCUCACAUGGUAUUUGGUCCGUGAAGUGCCCGCGGCGCACUUAGGAUAGGUUACUUUUUUUCUUUUAUAACUACGACCUUAUGUUUACACCGACUCUCACUGCCUGAAUGUAUUCUUAAGGUAAGUUCAGAACUAUGCUGGCAUCUUGAACUUGGAAUGGGGAUAUUAUAAAAUAAUCUAAAUUGGGACCCUUGCACAUGUGCUGGCAUUCUCGUCGGCGUUAAAACCUUAGCUGCACAAAACCUGCACAUGACCGCGAGCCAUGCAAAUAUCGUACGUCAGUGUACCAUUCGGGAACUCUUAUUUCUGUCUCUUGAGAGUGUACUUUGGUAUCCGCUACGCUAUGUGUGCCUAACAACACUUUUGCAUACGUUACUCAGGCAUGCACGUCUAUACACUUAUGAACAACUUGUAUUACACACUCAGUGUAUUCUGAACAAUAUUGUGCUGACGUCAAAUGGUCUAUAUACAUGACGUUUUUACAUGUCACAAUCAAGAAACCUGUCACCAGAAAGUGAGCGCGGACACUCCUUCUGAACUUGUUAUGGUUCUCACUCCUGUCUGCACUGUUGCUGGUACUAUAAAGCAUACGCAGAUCUACCUCCGCUCUUAAAUGCUGGAAUGCGGCUUUCGAACAAAAUAAGAAGCCCAAAGAAACCGCAGAGACGUCAGCUUCUAUGACGUAACCGCCGAGAAAAUACAUUUAGAGCACCAGUGCAGGCUUUAAUGCUUAGCGUAGAUUGCAGAGCGGAUGUCGUAAUACAGUACCAAAACACAAGAAGCGCAUAAAGAUAGACUUCAUCUGGAACAGGCGCGUCGAAGCAACGAAAGAAUACCAUUUAGAGAAGGCUACCAUUCUUAAAAUUUAAACGUGUCUGUCCCAAACCAUGUUUAACAGGAAAUGCAUUUGGUUUGUUGAGGCCAAUUUAGGACGCUAAAUUGAGGCAAACAGGUGAAUUAAAAGCUGAAGCCUGCGUCAGCCAGUUGGUGCUUUUGUGGCACGUGUCCAUAGAUGUGACAAAAUAAGUUUGGGCACGUCAGAUACAUCGCGCGUGCUCUAAGUUGAAGAAUCGGUGAGCGAUACUAGACUGGUCACCUGUAUAUUUAAAUACUGCUGAGUCGACUUUAUGUACUUGAUGUAGCAAGUUCGAAUGGGCAGAAACAUGCCGUUGCCUAUCUCCUGACAGGCGAAAUAGAUAUAAGAAAUCUUUAUUUACUCCUGAAGUAAAGAUGCCAGCUGCUAUUCCUCUAACAUUAUCGGGGUCUUACCUAUGUAGGUCGGGCCUGUACUUCGAUAGCAGUUUAUCCACAUGCCUCGACAAACGAAAUUAGGUUCCAGUACGCAUAUAUAUUUUUUCGCGGUUACUUUGGUGACCAAAUUGCUUCUUACUAUUGUGCAUUCCUGCCCUUCUACCUUUCAAGAAACGUUAGCAUGAUUUAUCGCUCAUGGCACAUGUCGUUUAUUAAAAAAAAAAAAAUAGGCAAAGUUAUGCCCUUUGUUUUCGUAGCGCGAGGGGUUUAAAUCGAAGGAGAACUCAUUUUUCAUGAAUAUCGACAAUAGAUGAAAGAGGGUACAUAGACGACGGUGGUUUCCUUCUUAGCAUCAGAGAGCAAAACAAAACAAAAACAAAACAAAAAAAACAAAGAGAAGGAAAAUUUUCUAAUUUUAUCAUCCUUAUAAGGGCAACAAGAAGCAUGAAUCGUUUCGGACUUUUCGUUUCUCGCGCAGACAAUUUCGCCGGUCGGAAACUCCAACACCAAAUCAGGAUCCGGCACUUCACGACGAACAUUGCACGUGCGCCGCCUCCGAAGCGGUCGAGUACCGGCAGUCUCCGCAGGCUUAGUGCUAUCGCUUUCAGAAGGGGUUUUCAACCGGAACUCGUCCUCGACAGGAACUGGAUACAAAGCGGCAGCCAAUAUUCUUCUGGACAUAUCCCUUGCGAUGCCACACCGAUCCGGCCCAACCGACCGCUCAGCGGCGUACGUGCAUCGUUGUGACAUGAUCAAAGAAUCUCGCGGCACGAGGCACGAGACGUACACGCCGGAGUUCACCGUAUAUAAAAGGCGGCCGAGGAAGUUGACGAUGGCUGCUAGACUAUGCAUGAACGUUUCAACCAAUUAGACCUUGGGCCUAGUGCACGUACAAGAACGCACGAGAAAAUAAAUCCGCUUGAAGAUGGCAGCAAACAAGCGUUAACUGUUACUAGAGCUGGGCAUCCGAAAGCCGCGACGGCCAAGAAAACAACAAAAGAACAGAACACACAGAUUGAAUUAAAAAAUGCCGGAACCGUAUUGUAUAAAACCCUCCCCUAGUAUUUGGAGUUGUUUACCGGAUGAAGAGAAUGAAAAAUGCGCCCACAGAAACAAAUGGCUUUCUCAUUCAAGAGCGGC
This is a long non-coding RNA of Dermacentor andersoni, 13079 nucleotides long. RefSeq lists it as uncharacterized. Lineage: Eukaryota; Metazoa; Arthropoda; Arachnida; Ixodida; Ixodidae. The record is from RefSeq and is a predicted model, not a curated record.